This 253-nucleotide ribosomal RNA is filed under the name uncultured bacterium. RNAcentral describes it as "partial 16S ribosomal RNA". It matches the Rfam family "Bacterial small subunit ribosomal RNA", at positions 524 to 776 of the family's 1533-position model. The record is from RNAcentral.
UACGUAGGGUGCAAGCGUUGUCCGGAAUUAUUGGGCGUAAAGAGCUCGUAGGCGGUUUGUCGCGUCUGCUGUGAAAACCCGAGGCUCAACCUCGGGACUGCAGUGGGUACGGGCAGACUAGAGUGCGGUAGGGGAGAUUGGAAUUCCUGGUGUAGCGGUGGAAUGCGCAGAUAUCAGGAGGAACACCGAUGGCGAAGGCAGAUCUCUGGGCCGUAACUGACGCUGAGGAGCGAAAGCAUGGGGAGCGAACAGG